UGUCGCCUCUAGGCUUGAUUGGCGCGAAUUUGCCAUUACAGAUGUUAAAUCAAGAUGGUGAGUCGAUCGACAGCUCUUGGCAUACAUCGCACGAAGUUGCCGUGAACUCCUGAACAUUCCCGGAGGAGAGUGCGGCCGGUGAUGUUGGAAUCAUUGCACGCGCGGUCUACUGCUUGAAGGAAAGGAGACUGCAGUCAGAGUGAGACGACGAGGAGAGGAGAGGAGAGAGGAAAGUGGUGCGUGGUGUGAGGAGCGUGGAGGCAGCCACGUGGGUGCGCCACGCAUGCUGCCGCAGCAAGACGGCGAGUGACUCCAGCUCUACGCGAGAUGCCGGGACUGUGCGAGACAUAGAGUCAUAGAGACGGUGCAUUACAACACGAGACAGGGACGGCGUGAGACACCGCGGCGACAAGAAGUAGAGACUGUGUAAGGCAGUGCACAAGAUAAUAAUGGUGUAAGACACUGGAACAGCCAGAGACAGAUGGUGUGAGUCAAUGGAGACAUAGGAGGAGGUGAGAGACGCCGGAACUACAAGAAACAGAGACGGUGUGAGAUAUAGGAUUGUUGCAGAUACCAAGACAA
This is a long non-coding RNA of Priapulus caudatus, 582 nucleotides long. RefSeq lists it as uncharacterized. Lineage: Eukaryota; Metazoa; Priapulida; Priapulimorpha; Priapulimorphida; Priapulidae. The transcript is spliced from 2 exons. The record is from RefSeq and is a predicted model, not a curated record.